This 472-nucleotide ribosomal RNA is filed under the name uncultured bacterium. Its description in RNAcentral is "partial 16S ribosomal RNA". The stretch from base 21 to 311 matches the Rfam family "Bacterial small subunit ribosomal RNA", at positions 48 to 357 of the family's 1533-position model. The record is from RNAcentral.
AACGAACGCUGGCGGCAUGCCUAACACAUGCAAGUCGAACGAGACCUUCGGGUCUAGUGGCGCACGGGUGCGUAACGCGUGGGAACCUGCCCUUAGGUUCGGAAUAACUCCCCGAAAGGGGUGCUAAUACCGGAUAAUGUCUUCGGACCAAAGAUUUAUCGCCUUUGGAUGGGCCCGCGUUGGAUUAGCUAGUUGGUAGGGUAAAAGCCUACCAAGGCGACGAUCCAUAGCUGGUCUGAGAGGAUGAUCAGCCACACUGGGACUGAGACACGGCCCAGACGAGGGGGGGGUGGGGGGGGUGGAAGUAGUGGCGAGGGGACGACGGCCCAAAGCAGCAAGGCGGGGGGAGUGAUGAGGGCUUUGGGUGUGUAAUCCUUGUUGCGCGGGAAUGAUAAUGAGCGGAGGGGGAGAAGCAGCGCAGGCUAACGCCGUGCCAGCAGCGGGGGAAAUGGAGGAGAGCACCCGUCUGAUC